RNAcentral lists this ribosomal RNA (486 nucleotides) under uncultured bacterium. RNAcentral describes it as "partial 16S ribosomal RNA". It matches the Rfam family "Bacterial small subunit ribosomal RNA", at positions 30 to 507 of the family's 1533-position model. The record is from RNAcentral.
AUUGAACGCUGGCGGCAUGCCUUACACAUGCAAGUCGAACGGCAGCACGGGUGCUUGCACCUGGUGGCGAGUGGCGAACGGGUGAGUAAUACAUCGGAACAUGUCCUGUAGUGGGGGAUAGCCCGGCGAAAGCCGGAUUAAUACCGCAUACGAUCUACGGAUGAAAGCGGGGGACCUUCGGGCCUCGCGCUAUAGGGUUGGCCGAUGGCUGAUUAGCUAGUUGGUGGGGUAAAGGCCUACCAAGGCGACGAUCAGUAGCUGGUCUGAGAGGACGACCAGCCACACUGGGACUGAGACACGGCCAAGAGUCCUACGGGAGGCAGCAGUGGGGAAUUUUGGACAAUGGGCGAAAGCCUGAUCCAGCAAUGCCGCGUGUGUGAAGAAGGCCUUCGGGUUGUAAAGCACUUUUGUCCGGAAAGAAAUCCUUGGCCCUAAUACGGUCGGGGGAUGACGGUACCGGAAGAAUAAGCACCGGCUAACUACGUG